RNAcentral lists this small nuclear RNA (97 nucleotides) under Bos grunniens (domestic yak). RNAcentral describes it as "U2 spliceosomal RNA (ENSBGRG00000012690.1)". It matches the Rfam family "U2 spliceosomal RNA". Rfam says of the family: U2 is a small nuclear RNA (snRNA) component of the spliceosome (involved in pre-mRNA splicing). Complementary binding between U2 snRNA (in an area lying towards the 5' end but 3' to hairpin I) and the branchpoint sequence (BPS) of the intron results the bulging out of an unpaired adenosine, on the BPS, which initiates a nucleophilic attack at the intronic 5' splice site, thus starting the first of two transesterification reactions that mediate splicing. The record is from Rfam by way of RNAcentral. Lineage: Eukaryota; Metazoa; Chordata; Mammalia; Artiodactyla; Bovidae.
AUCGCUCGGCCUUUUGGCUAAGAUCGAGUGUAGUAUCUGUCCUUAGCAGUUUAAUAUCUGGGGCUUCCCUCAUAGCUCAAUCGGUAAAGAAUCCGCC